This is an RNA transcript of Cannabis sativa, 1283 nucleotides long. It is a transcript of the gene named auxin-responsive protein SAUR21, with no coding region annotated. The transcript has 2 exons. The record is from RefSeq and is a predicted model, not a curated record. NCBI's taxonomy places the organism in Eukaryota, Viridiplantae, Streptophyta, Magnoliopsida, Rosales, Cannabaceae.
GGUCUUCAGAGAGGUACUCUUCUCUUCUGUUAUUAAACAUUUAUAUAUAAGAUCAAAAUUCACUCUUUAAAGCCUUAGUAAGUGUUGAUUUUGAUGACCUUGGAUUGGAUAUAUACACAAGUUUGAAGUUCAGGGAAAUAUUAUAGUUGGUUUGACAAGUUGAAAAAAAAAGGAACAAGUGACUCUUACUGUCCUUAGCAAAUAAAUAGAAGCAAAAAUAUAAUGAAAGACUAUAGAAUGGAGAUGGGGAAGGUGGACAGUGUACUUCAACAGCUCCUUUAUGCAUUUGAACAACCUUACUCAUGUUAGGAGCAAACAAGGGAAUGCUAAGGAACCCAAUUAUGUGUGUGUGUGUGUGUAUUCCUUUAUCCAGAUGAAUACUGAAGACUAAGGAGCCAAGUAGUUGGUUGGACUUGGAUGGAGUCUAGUAAUGAGCUGGUUCAUUAUAUAUGUUUCACAAUUGUUUUUCUUUGUUGCAAAUCUUAUAGAACAAGUGGGCUCUAUUGCUGUUUUAUCUCUUGGUAAUGGUUAGAUAGAUCACAUGUAUAUAUGUCUCAAUUACAGCUGAACUUUUAUGUAUGAGUUGGAAGACAAAGCCAUGUGAACUUCAAAUGCUUAUGUUUCUUGCACAUAUGUCAAACCUUCCCAAAUGUCUUAAGAACCACUUAUUUAAAAGCCUUAUUAGAUAUGUAUGCAUUCCAUUCCAACACUCCAUUCAUCUAUAUAAGGCUACAUAAGCACACACCCAAAUCAUCAAAUCCUCACAUUCUCUACUACACAAUAUUUUUGUAACUCUAAUAUUUCUUCUAAAGAAAAAUCACACCAAGUAAGAUCAACAUGGCAUUUGGAUUAACUGGUUUUGUUCAGGGUAAGAAGGCUCUCCGAAGAUCACUAUCAGGCAUUAAAGAAGCAACUUUGAAGUCUUCAAGCAUUCCAAAAGGCUACUUUGCUGUCUAUGUUGGAGAAGAUGAGAAGAAGCGCCAUGUAGUACCUCUUUCGUACCUAAAUGAACCUUCAUUUCAAGACUUGCUUAGUAUGGCAGAAGAAGAAUUCGGAUAUGACCAUCCGAUGGGCGGACUCACAAUUCCUUGCACAGAAGACAUCUUCAUUGAUAUCACUUCUCAAUUGAAUUGAUGAUUGUAAUUUGUAGCACUGACAUAGAUUCACAUAUAACAAAUUUGUAGAUCAUAUACAAUUUUACCCUUUUUCUUGGAAAAGAAAGGGAAUUUUUUUGACUAGUUGAGAAACUACUAAAUAGAAAUUACUGGUCAUUUGAUUAACAC